GGAGAUUUAGCUCAGUGGUAGAGCUUGCCUAGAAAGUGCAAGGCCCUGGGUUCGGUCCCCAGCUCCG
Molecule: transfer RNA, 67 nt
Filed under: Rattus norvegicus (Norway rat)
Lineage: Eukaryota; Metazoa; Chordata; Mammalia; Rodentia; Muridae
Rfam family: tRNA
About the family: Transfer RNA (tRNA) molecules are approximately 80 nucleotides in length.
Source: Rfam by way of RNAcentral